RNAcentral lists this ribosomal RNA (1265 nucleotides) under metagenome. RNAcentral's name for it is "bacterial LSU rRNA". It matches the Rfam family "Bacterial large subunit ribosomal RNA", at positions 1675 to 2925 of the family's 2925-position model. The record is from RNAcentral.
UCGAUACUAAGGCGAUCGAGAGAACUGUGGUUAAGGAACUCGGCAAAAUGCCCACGUAACUUCGGGAGAAGGGGGACCAGUCCUGGUGACGACAUUUACUGUCUGAGCUGGGGUUGGUCGCAGAGACCAGAGAGAAGCGACUGUUUACUAAAAACACAGGUCCGUGCGAAGUCGUAAGACGAUGUAUACGGACUGACGCCUCCCCGGUGCUGGAAGGUUAAGAGGACCGGUCAGCCACUUCGGUGGCGAAGCUGAGAAUUUAAGCCCCAGUAAACGGCGGUGGUAACUAUAACCAUCCUAAGGUAGCGAAAUUCCUUGUCGGGUAAGUUCCGACCUGCACGAAUGGCGUAACGACUUCUCUGCUGUCUCAACCACAGACUCGGCGAAAUUGCAGUACGAGUAAAGAUGCUCGUUACGCGCGGCAGGACGAAAAGACCCCGGGACCUUCACUAUAGCUUGGUAUUGGUGUUCGGUUCGGUUUGUGUAGGAUAGGUGGGAGACUGUGAAACUCGCACGCCAGUGUGGGUGGAGUCAUUGUUGAAAUACCACUCUGACCGUAUUGGACAUCCAACCUCGGACCAUGAUCUGGUUCAGGGACAGUGCCUGGUGGGUAGUUUAACUGGGGCGGUUGCCUCCUAAAAAGUAACGGAGGCGCCCAAAGGUUCCCUCAGCCUGGUUGGCAAUCAGGUGUUGAGUGUAAGUGCACAAGGGAGCUUGACUGUGAGACGUACAUGUCGAGCAGGGACGAAAGUCGGGACUAGUGAUCCGGCACCGGCAAGUGGAAGCGGUGUCGCUCAACGGAUAAAAGGUACCCCGGGGAUAACAGGCUGAUCUUCCCCAAGAGUCCAUAUCGACGGGAUGGUUUGGCACCUCGAUGUCGGCUCGUCGCAUCCUGGGGCUGGAGUAGGUCCCAAGGGUUGGGCUGUUCGCCCAUUAAAGCGGCACGCGAGCUGGGUUUAGAACGUCGUGAGACAGUUCGGUCUCUAUCCGCCGCGCGCGUAAGAAACUUGAGGAAACCUGUCCCUAGUACGAGAGGACCGGGACGGACGAACCUCUGGUGUGCCAGUUGUUCCACCAGGAGCACCGCUGGUUAGCUACGUUCGGAAGGGAUAACCGCUGAAAGCAUCUAAGCGGGAAGCCUGUUCCAAGAUGAGGUUUCUCACCACCUAGCGUGGUUAAGGCCCCCCACAGACCAUGGGGUUGAUAGGCCAGAACUGUAAGCACAGCAAUGUGUUCAGGUGACUGGUACUAAUCGGCCGAGGACC